This 280-nucleotide ribosomal RNA is filed under the name uncultured bacterium. RNAcentral describes it as "partial 16S ribosomal RNA". It matches the Rfam family "Bacterial small subunit ribosomal RNA", at positions 338 to 634 of the family's 1533-position model. The record is from RNAcentral.
CCUACGGGUGGCAGCAGUAGGGAAUAUUGGACAAUGGGCGAAAGCCUGAUCCAGCAACGCCGCGUGCGCGAUGAAGGCCUUCGGGUUGUAAAGCGCUUUUCGGGGGGAUGAGGAAGGACAGUACCCCCGGAAUAAGUCUCGGCUAACUACGUGCCAGCAGCCGCGGUAAAACGUAGGAGGCAAGCGUUAUCCGGAUUUACUGGGCGUAAAGCGCGUGCAGGCGGUUCGGUAAGUCGGACGUGAAAGCUCCUGGCUCAACUGGGAGAGGCCGUUCGAUACU